This 59-nucleotide transfer RNA is filed under the name Microperoryctes longicauda (long-tailed bandicoot). RNAcentral's name for it is "tRNA-Ser". Lineage: Eukaryota; Metazoa; Chordata; Mammalia; Peramelemorphia; Peroryctidae. The record is from RNAcentral.
GAGAACGUUAAAAGAACUGCUAACUCUUUAUACCAUAUUUAACAAAUAUGGCUUUCUCA